RNAcentral lists this ribosomal RNA (367 nucleotides) under uncultured organism. RNAcentral's name for it is "bacterial SSU rRNA". It matches the Rfam family "Bacterial small subunit ribosomal RNA", at positions 526 to 896 of the family's 1533-position model. The record is from RNAcentral.
CGGAGGGUGCAAGCGUUAUCCGGAUUCACUGGGUUUAAAGGGUGCGUAGGUGGGUAAGUAAGUCAGUGGUGAAAUCUCCGGGCUUAACCCGGAAACUGCCAUUGAUACUAUUUGUCUUGAAUACUGUGGAGGUCAGCGGAAUAUGUCAUGUAGCGGUGAAAUGCUUAGAUAUGACAUAGAACACCAAUUGCGAAGGCAGCUGGCUACACAAAUAUUGACACUGAGGCACGAAAGCGUGGGGAUCAAACAGGAUUAGAUACCCUGGUAGUCCACGCCCUAAACUAUGGAUACUCGACAUUUGCGAUAAACUGCAAGUGUCUGAGCGAAAGCAUUAAGUAUCCCACUGGGAAGUACGAUCGCAAGAUUG